RNA transcript from Zea mays, 3247 nucleotides. It is a transcript of the gene named ribosomal protein L17 pseudogene, with no coding region annotated. The record is from RefSeq and is marked validated. Lineage: Eukaryota; Viridiplantae; Streptophyta; Magnoliopsida; Poales; Poaceae. The transcript has a single exon.
CCUGAUCAAUCGGACCCGAAAACUCGUAUACACAAUCUUUCGCGUUGCUACCACCGCGGCUUCCUUCUCUACCCUUCCCUCGCGUCGCCAUCGCAAGAGUAUCUCAACUCCGCCUCGAGACCUCCCCCCUCGCUGGUCUCAGCCAUGGUGAGAUCUCUCUCGUCCUUACUCUAGCGCUUGUUGCAUCUUCGCUGCGCUGCAGCCAUGGAUUUGGCCUCGCCCUUACUAAUUCCUGACGUGCGGCGGCUCUUGUUUGUGGUUCUAGGUGAAAUAUUCGACGGAGCCGACCAACCCCACCAAGUGUAAGCUUCUUUAACAAAGGUUUCCAUGCAUAUUUCUGCAUCUGCGGGUUUUCUGAUUCGCGUGUUGUUAUCUUUUAUUCGAUGUAGCCGCUAAGGCCAUGGGUCGUGACCUACAUGUUCACUUCAAGGUGAGAGAUCCCUAUCUGCCUCCUGUCCGAGAUCCUAUUUUAACAGAUCUCAUGAUUUGUUUGUGCUAUUUUUGUGCUGCGUUCGGCUAUAGCCUAGGUAUAAUACAUCUAGGAUUCAUCUUUACUCUUCAAGUAGUGUACGCCGUUCAACUCACGCUACCAGCUAUCAUGUUUCCCUUUUUUAUCGUUAUUAUUCCUUUCGAUAAUGCCGUUUGCAGUUGGUUUCUUUGUGUUUUUAGAUGCAUUUGGAAGCCUUGCACUCUGAAUUUACCGGACUAAUGUUGUACUCCAUCCUUCCACGAAAGGAUGCAAUUCACACUUUCUAAAGGAGUCACGGUUUGAAAUUUGACUAAAGUUAUAUAUAAAAGAAAGUACUUGCAUAAGUUAUAUUUAUCAUAGAAGUACCAGCUUCAUUGUUAUUGGGCUGACCAGGUUUCACAACUUGAUUCCAAUUAGAUUAGUAAGUGAAGUACGUGAUGUAUUAGUAUACUUGCGUUACUUCUCUUAGUGAAUCUCUGUGAUUGCCAGCAGUUUAAGGCACCAGACACCAAACGAAUGUGCUUACAUAUAGUGGAAAACCUUUAGAAUGGCAGCUUCAUUGCUAUUUGGAGGGCAGGUGUGGCAACUUGUCUCUGUUGCUGCUGUGCAAGCCACUCUAUGGUUGAAUGCAUGCAUUUUCCUGCUUCUGUGGUAUAUAUAUGCUGCCAAAUGAACUUUCUGAUGUUGAUUAAAUGGUUAUGUUUGUGUGCUAAAUAAAAAUUAGACUCUUCAUCAAAUUUUUCUUAUUGAUAAGUCCAUUAAGCGCAGUUGCACGAUGCUCUACUUUUUGUAGGUGUCAUUCCUGUUGGUAGUGUUCAUUUCUGUAGUUGAAUACCCUAAAGAAAAAAGCAGGAUGAUGUGCUAUAUAUUAGCAGUAUCCCCGUAAACUUUAGGAACACGAUGAUCAUCGUUAUUGGGUGAACCUUUGGUCAUGUCCAUGUGUUGGACAACUCCAUGUCAAUUGGUUCAGUAAAUGAUGACACAUUUGUUUUCACAUAUUUUGUAGCUUGGGUGUGAUAAUUUUGGUGUGAUAAUGGUUGUGAUAAUUUCUCUGUCCAUUCAUAAGAUGGCACACAAUAUAUUUCAGUUGCUGACGCUAUUUAUUUUUUGAUAUGAUGUGGAUAUAUUUUUUGUGUAUGUUAACGCACCUAUCAUGCUUGCAGAACACACGUGAGACAGCUUUUGCCCUUAGGAAGUUGUCACUCACCAAGGCCAAAAGUUACCUUGAGGAUGUGAUCGCCCACAAGCAGGCCAUCCCUUUCCGUAGGUAUUGUGGUGGUGUUGGGCGUACUGCUCAGGCUAAGUCUCGCCACUCAAAUGGUCAGGGACGCUGGCCUGUCAAGUCUGCUAGAUUCAUUCUAGACCUUCUCAAGAAUGCAGAGAGCAAUGCUGAGGUCUGCAAUUCUUCUUUGCGCUGUCAGAGCUAUCUUUGCAUCUAUAAUGUAUGCUAAUUAUGUCAAUUUCUCUGCUGCAGGUGAAAGGACUUGAUGUGGAUACCAUCUAUGUGUCUCACAUUCAAGUUAAUCAGGCUUAGAAGCAGCGACGCAGGACAUACCAUGCUCAUGGACGCAUCAACCAUAAGUCUAUCUAACUAAAGUUGAAGUUUUGCUAUGCGAUGAACUGUUCUUCAUUUGGAGCUUAACAUUCUGUUUGCCUACCUGGUCCAGCUUACAUGUCCUCCCCAUGCCACAUCGAGCUCAUCUUGUCGGAGAAGGAAGAGCCAGUGAAGAAAGAGGUAUGUGGACAUGUGGUUGUGUACACUGUUGCACCUGAUUACCUGAUUUAGUGCAUGGGAUUAAUGUUGUGCUAUUGUGGUCAAUCGUUUCCUUUUCAGGCUGAGUCUCAGAUUGCAACCAGGAAGGCUUAGAGAAGGGGCUCUAUCUUCUGUGAUUGGCUUAGUACAAGUUUUGGCUGAUUAUUUGUUGUCUCAUACUGUUUACCUGAGUAUUGUUUGCAAGUGCUUUAUCACUGUCCGAACUGUGCAUGCAAUUCACUGGUCUAGAGAAUUGUCCGUGGAUUGUUUCAUAUUUGCGCGUAUGGCUCAUGUCUGUUGCUUUGCUUUAAUCUGUACCGAACAUUAAGUGUAGCAUUAACAAUCUGAAGCGAACAUUAAGAGUAGGGUUGUCCUGCUUCUGCAAUUUUAGUUGUCAGUAAAAUAUCUGUUUCUGAAAGCACUUGCCAUUCCUUUUUAAUAUCAGGUGAGCUGAAGUCAACUAAGGUGUAUGAGAAAUGGGCUAAAAAGAUCUCAGGGAUGGAGCCACCAACAAAUCCGCUAGAGAGGAGAGCGAAGUAAGUUUUCAUCCCCACAGAACACUUGAGGCUGCUAAAAUCCCUUACUAUUCAAUAGCUCCCUCAAUUCCCUUUCUUCCAAACAAGCCCUUAGGUGUCAGUGUUACAUUCCGCUACCAUUUGCUUGUUUCCAACUGAUCGUUGUCUUGAACUCCAUGGCACGAAGAGGAAGAACAGUGAGGAGAAUGAUCUGAUACUAGCUAUCUCACAGCGCAGGGUUGAGCGGAAAAAACAGUUCAACUCCAUCCUCUCGAACAUCAUGUCCAAGUGUGACUCCAAGGCGAGCAGCUCAGAGCCCACGAAAGAAGAGUUUGAGCAAGCGCAACAGAGGCUGGAGAGCAGAAGGGCCAAGAGGCGCAAGUGAUGCUGCUGCCAGCCUUCUUGCCCUAUGCUGAACAUUGUCUGAACCUUUUGGUGUGACCUGAAUUUACCAGCAUGCAAGUGAUGGUUCUAAGACCCAGUUUUAGCGUGUCAGAGUGUGUGUCAUAU